Molecule: non-coding RNA, 23 nt
Filed under: Rattus norvegicus (Norway rat)
Lineage: Eukaryota; Metazoa; Chordata; Mammalia; Rodentia; Muridae
Source: RNAcentral
UGUUGGCAUGGUCCGCAUGGCCC